GAUGAACGCUGGCGGCGUGCUUAACACAUGCAAGUCGAACGAAGCAUUUAAGACAGAUUACUUCGGUUUGAGGUCUUUUAUGACUGAGUGGCGGACGGGUGAGUAACUCGUGGGUAACCUGCCUCAUACAGGGGGAUAGCAGCUGGAAACGGCUGGUAAUACCGCAUAAGCGCACAGUACCACAUGGUACAGUGUGAAAAACUCCGGUGGUAUGAGAUGGACCCGCGUCUGAUUAGCUUGUUGGCGGGGUAACGGCCCACCAAGGCGACGAUCAGUAGCCGACCUGAGAGGGUGACCGGCCACAUUGGGACUGAGACACGGCCCAGACUCCUACGGGAGGCAGCAGUGGGGAAUAUUGCACAAUGGAGGAAACUCUGAUGCAGCGACGCCGGGUGAGUGAAGAAGUAGUUCGCUAUGUAAAGCUCUAUCAGCAGGGAAGAUAGUGACGGUACCUGACUAAGAAGCUCCGGCUAAAUACGUG
This 481-nucleotide ribosomal RNA is filed under the name uncultured bacterium. Its description in RNAcentral is "partial 16S ribosomal RNA". It matches the Rfam family "Bacterial small subunit ribosomal RNA", at positions 28 to 507 of the family's 1533-position model. The record is from RNAcentral.